Pezoporus flaviventris is the source of this 2074-nucleotide long non-coding RNA. RefSeq lists it as uncharacterized. NCBI's taxonomy places the organism in Eukaryota, Metazoa, Chordata, Aves, Psittaciformes, Psittacidae. The transcript is spliced from 3 exons. The record is from RefSeq and is a predicted model, not a curated record.
AAAAGUUUACAGGAUAGUUUGCCUGGUAUUUUCUCAUGCUGCAACCCGUGUAUACAGCUUGCAUUCAUUUCAAGGGUAUUUUUACCACAAAGUGAGGGAAGACUACAGCCCUAACAUCUUUAGGUGUUUUGAAGAUCUGUACCUGCAGCUUCAAAACAGUGGUCUAAUCUCCGCUUCCAGUAAGGACAGCAGAAUUUGUGCUUGUUUAUGCACUUUGAUUUUCAGUUCUUUGUGUAUAAUUUUAGCUGUGGGUGGAGUAUCCUGAGCCAGAUUUCUCCCUAUGUGCUAUACAUACAGAAUGACAGAAAGACAUACACGAUUCUGUGCUAGAUUGACAGUGAAUUACAUUUGCUAGCAAAUACUGGAUCAGAGCCAUCUGUUUCAGAAAUUAGCAUAGCAGGGAUUUGUUUGUUUGGCUUCAUCUGUCUAUUAGUUUGGUCAAAAUCCUCUUGUUUUAGAGACACACUAUCACAGAGAGGACCUGUGAUAUGCUUUGUGCAGGCAGCCCCUGAAAUACAUAAAUUACACUGAAAAGUGGAGAUAAAAUGUGAUUGUCAGAAAUCCAGAGAAGGCUAAAUUCAGAUGUUAUUUCUUUUUUUUCCUGAAUGCAAGUUUGAUGUCCUCAGUGCACACUGUGUUAAAGAUCAUCUACCCCGAAACAGUGUGCUGAUAGAGAACUACUUCUUGCUGUACCAAAGUAGUGUUGCUGAACUUGUAGGUGCACUGUAUCUGUGUGUUUUGAGAGAAUUGCAGGAAUCCCUCUUGACUUACAGCCUCUACAGCUUUCCUUUGAAGAGGUAUUGAUAUUUCUAAAAAUUGAGAAGUCUAGCUCCAAACAACAGUGAAGAAAAGGGCAUCAAGCCAUUAAAUGAUAAGUAUCUCUUCUGUAAAAUAUCAAAUAGAAAACCAUCUGGAUCCAGAAGAGAAAGGGUUCAUGGUACAACAAAAUUCUUAUCCCCUUUCACAUGGGUAUGUGUGCAAGGAAGGAAAAAUAUUUGCAGAAGUACAUCAUUCCACCAGUGCAAAGAAGAUAAGCAAGAAGAGAGUGAAUAAAGCAGAAUUUUCUUUGUUACAGAGACUGCAUUUGAAGGGAUUGUAACAGCAGGUACAGCGCUGCCAAGUAGAAACAACCCUGGAUGUGCUGUAGAAGGUGGAGGCUUUCCCAAGGGUAACCUGGAGGAAUCUGGAGGGGUCAGGUGAACCCAGGCUGUCACCCAUUGAAGAAGCUCUGAGGAAACUCUGCAAGAUGGAUUGGUCACUGAAUUUGUAGCUACAUGGAUGUGUCUGUACCUGCCAUUUAAAUUGCAUUAUUUCAACUAAUAUGUAUCUAUAAAAAUAUCCCUAUUACUUGUAAAUGAGCUUUUUUAAAAGUACAUUUUGAAAUAAUACAUGGUCGAUGCAAGUUCCUUGGAAACUGCUACAGGGAAGAUGGCUCAAAAUGGAGUUUGCUCUGUGAAAGCAAAGGCCAUCGGGGUACCUACAGCUUGUCAGUGAUGGGCUAGUAAUGUACCAUUGAAUAGGGUGGACUAUCCAUCAGGCUUGUUUUGCCACUUUAAUUUCCUAACAAACACGGAACAGUAAUCAAGUUUCAGAUUCUAUUGAGAACUGGCUAUGUUACUUAAAGAACAAGUCUUCUGUGACCUCUGGAGCAUGUUAUUACUAAAAGAAGGGCAUAAUUGACUUUUUGGAUACACAAUUAUUUGUUCUUGCUGCUGUUGUCCCAUAACAGCAUGGAUUAUAAACCUUAUAUCCUAGUCAUGCAGGCAAAACUCUCUGUUACCUUAGCCCUGCUGUUUAAUUAGCUUUUACAAUUGGACAUUGUUUAUAUCCCAAUAAAUGUUGCCUGAGUAAAGACUUCCCCUUAACCAAUUAUACCAGAUGUUUUUCUGUGAAGGUCCUAAUUAAAUAGCAUCUAUUCUUAUGUUUGUUUUAAAACCUGCCUGUUGUGUAAAUCUCUGGAAGAGCACACUGUUAUACUGGGUUGCUUCACCAUUAUUUCUGUCAUUCCCUGGUUCACUGGUUGGUUGCAGCAUCUCCCUUUAAAAGUUGUUGCUUACUGUAUGGGAGGGAGGUC